Molecule: ribosomal RNA, 253 nt
Filed under: uncultured bacterium
Lineage: Bacteria
Description: partial 16S ribosomal RNA
Rfam family: Bacterial small subunit ribosomal RNA
Source: RNAcentral
UACGUAUGGUGCAAGCGUUAUCCGGAUUUACUGGGUGUAAAGGGAGCGUAGGCGGCGGGGCAAGCCUGAUGUGAAAGCCCGGGGCUCAACCCCGGGACUGCAUUGGGAACUGCCCUGCUGGAGUGCCGGAGGGGCAGGCGGAAUUCCUAGUGUAGCGGUGAAAUGCGUAGAUAUUAGGAGGAACACCAGUGGCGAAGGCGGCCUGCUGGACGGUGACUGACGCUGAGGCUUGAAAGCGUGGGGAGCAAACAGG